Long non-coding RNA from Bubalus bubalis (water buffalo), 1483 nucleotides. RefSeq lists it as uncharacterized. Lineage: Eukaryota; Metazoa; Chordata; Mammalia; Artiodactyla; Bovidae. The record is from RefSeq and is a predicted model, not a curated record. The transcript has 2 exons.
CCGCCGGCUCCUUCCCUUUUAUAACCUCGUAGCCGCCGAGCGCACGCGCGUCCUUCCGGCGCGAGCCGGCCCUCCCAGGACGCUUUGCGGCGCGCGAGCUGCCGCGACGCCGCGGCCCCGACGGCAGCGGGGGGAGGGGAGGCGGAGCGAGGGCAGGCGGGCGCGCGCCUCCCGCCCCAAGAGGGCGGUUCGCCUGUGGGUUGGCUUGGGGUACUCUCGACCUCUGCGCCCGCCUCCCCGUUCCGGGUCGGCUUUGUGACGCCGCGCGCUCCGGCUUCCUCCCUCCCGCGCCUGGCCCGCCACUCCUGGGGGCGGCCGAGGGCAGCUGGGAAUGCGGACUGGCUGGGUGGGGCCGGCCGAGUCCUCGCGUCUAGCGCGCGUCCCCGCCGACUCGAGCUGCUGUCCCAGCGCGAGGUCUGGCGUCUCGGCCCCAGGACGCUGGUUUCGAGCAGAGCCAAAAUAAAGCUCGCUUUCAUCUUUCGGUUAUGUGGAAAACAACAUCCAGCGCCGUUUCGAAUAUAGAUAGGCGAGGCAUUUUGAAGCCGUUCGGGUCUCGGGGCAUUUAGGGAUGUGCAGGUGUUGAGAUGGUUGGAUGGCAUCACCGACUCAAUAGGCAUGAGUUUGAGUAAACUCCGGGAGCUGGUGAUGGACAGGGAGGCCUGGCAUGCUGCAGUCCAUGGGGUCACAAAGAGUUGGACAACUGAGCGACUGAACUGAACUGAACUGAACUGAGGCAGAGUCAACAGUCCCUCCCUCUCAGCCUACCCUACCCUCAUUGGUUUUCACAAGUUCCCUUCUCUCCUUUUCUCUCUGAAUCCUUCCUCCCUCUAGUCCAGCAAUUUGUCUCCUAAUAGUGAGAAGGCAGGUUUUUUUUUUAGUACGAUAUAUGCUAUUCUUAACUUCGUGGUCCGUGAUCUAUGCCCUGAACCUUCAUAUGCAAAGUAAACCUUAAAAUGUCUUUUAGGUCAAGCAUCUGGCUCCUUCAAAUAACAAAUAAUCCAGCUUUCAGCCCAAAAUGCUUUUAUUAUAAUUUUAACAAUCAAUUUUGAAAUCCAGGCUCUAUUUGAGUGCCCUCCAAAGCAACAUGGCUGGACUGCUACAGGGAAAAAAAAGAAAAGAAAAUUCUUGGUUUAAAAUGUCCAGAUAUCCAGUAUCCUUGCCUGGAAAAUCCCAUCGACAGAGGAGCCUGUGGGCUGCAGUUCAUGGGGUCACAAAGAGUGGGACAUGACUUAGAGACUGAGCACUCUACAGUAAUGCUAAUCUGAAAUUAUGUUAUUUGAGGAAAACCGCAAAUAACUCAAUUUACUAAGUUAUUAAGUACCCCAAACUAGCAAUCAUGUUUUCUCUAUAUUACAAAUAAAAGUAAUUUAUUUUUGAAUAGCUAGGAACAUUGAAAGGUCAUUUUUAUUUCUUAGACUGUUUAUAUAUAUACACACACACACAUAUAAUUUGAAGUCAUUAAAUGUAAAUCAUUAGCCUCUUU